CCUACGGGGAGCAGCAGUGAGGAAUAUUGGUCAAUGGCCGGAAGGCUGAACCAGCCAUGCCGCGUGAAGGUCAGUGCCCUAUGGGCGUUAAACUUCUUUUGUGCGGGAGCAAUAAUGGUCACGUGUGGCCAGACGAGAGUACCGUACGAAUAAGCAUCGGCUAACUCCGUGCCAGCAGCCGCGGUAAUACGGGGGAUGCAAGCGUUAUCCGGAUUUAUUGGGUUUAAAGGGUGCGUAGGCUGUGAGGUAAGUCAGCGGUGAAAUGCCCCCGCUCAACGGGGUGAAGUGCCAUUGAUACUGCCUGGCUGGAAUGCGGAUGCCGUGGGAGGAAUGUGUGGUGUAGCGGUGAAAUGCAUAGAUAUCACACAGAACACCGAUUGCGAAGGCAUCUCACGAAUCCGCGAUUGACGCUGAUGCACGAAAGCGUGGGUAUCAAACAGGAUUAGAUACCCUUGUAGUC
RNAcentral lists this ribosomal RNA (460 nucleotides) under uncultured bacterium. RNAcentral describes it as "partial 16S ribosomal RNA". It matches the Rfam family "Bacterial small subunit ribosomal RNA", at positions 338 to 795 of the family's 1533-position model. The record is from RNAcentral.